Molecule: small RNA, 125 nt
Filed under: Marmota monax (woodchuck)
Lineage: Eukaryota; Metazoa; Chordata; Mammalia; Rodentia; Sciuridae
Source: RNAcentral
ACCGGGUGCGGUGGUGCACAUCUGUAAUCCCAGCAGCUUGGGAGGCUGAGGCAGGAGGAACACAAGUUCAAAGCCAGCCUCAGCCAUCGCAAGGUGCUAAGCAACUCAGUGAGACCCUGUCUCUA